Molecule: long non-coding RNA, 4229 nt
Organism: Macadamia integrifolia
Lineage: Eukaryota; Viridiplantae; Streptophyta; Magnoliopsida; Proteales; Proteaceae
Exons: 2
Source: RefSeq, a predicted model, not a curated record
AAUUGCAGCCAAUUUCAACCCCUCUCUUAGUGGGGCUUUUUCCUCCCGUGAGGCGUACUAGGUUGCGUGAGUUUCUCGCCGACGCUUCCCUCCAUUGAAGGUUUCGGAUGUCUCUCCCUUCGGCUUGGUGCUUGUUUCUCUUGUUAUAGCCAAACUCUUGAUUCUCUUGAGGCUUUGUUUCGUUUGAUUAGCUCUGCAUUCUCUGUUUUCCAGAUUUUAUCUGGUUCUGUUCUUUGUUUGCUAAAUCUGGAUCUUCUCCAGUUGUGGCGGAAUUGUUGUGUUGAAUCCUGUUCGUGGCUUACGUUUCCCUGGUUUGAUUCUUAGGUUAAUUCACAAUGGUUUUGGCUUUCUGAUUUCUUGUAUAAGGUCCAAUCGUUUCUAUUUGUUUUGAUUUGAUUUCUUGAUUUUGACUUCUUGAUUUCUUCUGAAGACCUUUGUUUCUUUCUUCUUAAAUCUUUCUUAGUUUGUGCGAUACUCUUAGGUUGGGAUUGUAAUGGUUUCAGUUUCUUGAUUUGUCUAUAUAAUGUUUGAUUUGUUCUGGUUUCUUUCUCUCAUUUUCUGCAGGUCUCUGCAUUUUACUACUCUUGCAUAAAUUCUUAGAUGUGCUUAUCCCCUACUUUACUUUAGUGUAUAUGGUUGAUUUCUGCAGAGUAGCAAAUCUUUUGUAUGGAUCCAGAGUUAGAUGGUGUGAUCUUGCCGGAAUGGCCGGAGAUACUUCAAUUGAAACCAGAAGAGCGGAUUUGGAAACAUCUGAUCUGGGAGUUGAUUCCAGUUUUGUUGAUUGGACUUUUGUCCUAAUCGGCAAGGUUUUCUCCACCAAGCGAAUCCCUACUGCAUCUGUAUCAAAAGGCCUUGGAGUGGCUUGGAGCCUUCAGAGAGAUCUAGAAGUCAGAUCAAUGGGGGAAAAUGUCUUCCUCAUCCAAAUGGCUAGCACUACAGAAGUAACGGUGGCUCUGGAUCAAGGUCCAUGGCUGAUCAAGAAUUGUCUUCUAGCUCUUCAACCCUGGACACCGUUGGUACAACUCCAAUCACUCUCCUUUUGUCUCUUUUUCGAUUUGGACCUGUCUAUGAGCUGCCUUUCUUUCUUCACACUAAAGAAGUUGCAGUUCGUAUUGUGGCAAAUUGGGAAAUUUUCUUGAAGCCCAACUGCCUGUCUCUCUUUGAGCUCUAGGAAAGGCUCUGGCUAUUCCUGUAUCUCUAAAGAUAGGCUCUCCCAUGGCCAGGAAUGCGCCUCUUACAGCCAGAGGGAAGGUCACUGUGGCUGGAAUUGUGCUAUGCCAAUCUACCACUAUUCUGCUAUUUCUGUGGCUUGAUUGGACAUGAUAGUCACUCCUGCCUUAUCCAAAGAGCUCUCCCAGGGGGUUUUACCUCACCAAAGGCAAUGGAUCUAGAUCCAGAGGUAAGAAAGCAAUGUUGGGAUGUCUCUUUCGGGAAUGGAUCCAGCUGGGAGGAUCAGUGGCCAGGCCAAUAGCAGAUGUCCAAAUGCGGUUAGCAGCUAAGUCUACCCUCAUAAGUUUGGAGCUCCGCUCUUCUUUGCGUACUUCUUUGGAUUCCAUGGAGCAGGAUCAGGUCCCAUCUUCUUUUCCCGACAGAACACUUCCGCUGGCGAUCUAGUCUGAACGGGGUAAACCUAAAUAGGCAGUUUGGACGAUGGGAGGAGGCUUCCGGCGAGUUCCCCGACAGAACCUGUUGGAUAGUGUAGGACUCGGGAGGCCCAACUGCGUUUCAGCCCAGGUCAGCCCAUGUUACUAGUAGUGUAGCUGGACCAAGUGAGGAGGCCUGCGUUAUAUGUAUGAAACCUCUCGCUAGGGCCCAAGCUGGAGGCCGACAAUUUGUCUUUAAAUCCCACAAAGGUAAACUUCAGAAUGGUGUGGGUCCCAAGGUCACCUCCCCCAUGGGCUUAAAAUCUAGUCAAACAUCUUUGGGCCCGCAACUGCUUGAUAAGAGGUGUCUUAUGGGAAGCCCAUUUACUCCUACAGAAUCAGUGAACCCAAGCCCAUCCUUAAGGAUAAAGAAUGGGAGCCCAAUUCCUCAAGGGCAUACACCUUUGCAAAAUCCAGUUACCCAGCGCCCUUUUGUCCAGAGUCCUCGGGCUGGCCCAUGGCAGCCUAUCUGAUUAGAUACGCCAAAUCAGUGUGUCCAGAAGACUCAUCUUGCUGGUCCGAUCGCCCAUCAUAUUACUGAUACCAAUAAUACUCGAGCACUAAGCACUGUGGGCCUGGGGAAUGGUGGGACUCUGCUGUCCAGUGCUGAUGCUUCAUCUUCCUAAGCUACUGUGUCACGGGAUCUGCUAUCUGAGCAAGAUAACUAUGAUAGUGUUGCACCACGGUGCCCCUUGACUUUGACAAAAUCAUCUAAAAUAGUUCUGAUUACCAAAGAAGUUCAGGAAAGAGUCCAAGAGCCCUCCUUUGUUACCUUAGAGGAGCUGCUAUCUCCUUCACAAUCGCCGGUGCAAAAUAGAGUCUGUAAAAGACGUUUGGGGAGCUCCUCCACCCCCAUUGCACAGAAAUUCAAGAAAUUGCGCAUAUCUUCUGAUGUUGGAUACCCUACACAUAAUAAAGGGGCUUUGUUCGAGAGGGCUCCUUUAUCUGAUGCAUCCAAUGGUCAAGGCUGGCGGAGGAAAAUUAAUUUUGUGACAUUUACUAAUGCUGUGUCUAUUGCUGAAGAAGGGGUUUGGGUGGCUACCCUAAAACAGCCACCGUGGGGGCCAUGACUCUUUUAUGUUGGAACUGUCAGGGGUGUGGUUGGCCUCUGACGGUUCAGUAUUUGAGCAGUUUAUGCUCUAAUAUCAGACCAAGCAUCGUCUUCCUGAUUGAAACAAAGCAACAACAAUGGUAUAUGAAUUAGAUCAAGUGUCGGUGAGGCUUCUCUAACUCUUUCUUUUUAGAUCCUCAAGGGCGCGCUAGUGGUCUUGCUUUAUUUUGGGAUGACUCUGUAUCUCUAACUAUUCUCUCUACUUCUUGCAGAUUUUUUGAUUUGUCUCUGGGUGGCCCUUUUCUUUUUACUUCCAUCAGGCUUAUCUUUGUAUAUGUUGACCCUCAAACGGACCUCCGAGCUGCCUUUUGGAGUGAGAUAGUUUUACUAAGCCAGUCCAUCUCAAGCCCAUGGCUUUUUGCAUUGGUCCUCGCUUUUCUUGGUCAAACAAGCGACAUGUGGAUCAGUUGAUAAUGGCUAGUAUUGAUAAAGCUUUUGCAAAUGGUUAGCUUCUUAGACGGCAAAAUCUAUUGGAGGUUCGACGGCAUACUAUGGUCGGGUCAGACCAUACCCCGGUAUCAGUUCAUUUCCAUCCCCGACCCAAAUCUAUAAAGGUCGAUAAUUUUUUUUUAUGUCAAGAUGCGUGGGCCACCCAAAUUUGGAGAGUGUAGUAUCUCAGGCUUGGGCUCAUAAUUCUCAGGGAUCUGCUUCCUAUAGACUCCAGCAGAAACUUCGAAACUGUAGCUUCCGGCUGAAGAGGUGGAGUUGUGAAACUUUUAAAAAUGGACAGUUGGAAAUUGCAACGCUCACUGAGGAGCUGGAAUCUGUGCAAACCCAUCCCUAGCGUGAAUUCAUUCAAGAGGAGAUUUCAGUGAGGAAAAAAAUUAGAGGAAGCCCUAUUGGGUGAGGAGUGCUUUUGGGCUCAGAGAUCUAGGAUCCAAUGGAUCAAAGAGGGAGACAGAAAUACCUCUUUCUUCCAUACGGCUACUUCCCGAAGACGCCAGUUAAACUGCAUCUCUCGUAUCCGCAACUCUAGUGGGGAUUGGAUCCCGGAAGGCCAAGGGAUGUCUGAUCUUAUUACAAGUUAUUUUUCAAACCUCUUUACUUCAUCCACUAUGGGAAUACUGCUUAUUUUUUGGACUGUGUGCCUUCUCGGGUUACCCAUGAGCAGAAUCAAAUACUUUGUUCUCCCUUUACUGAUGAAGAGGUUAGGGUUGCUACUUUUCAGAUUGGGACUUUUAAAGCCCCUGGUAUUGAUGGACUUCCCAGGAAGUUCUAUCAGCUGCAUUGAAAUAUUUUAGGUGCUGAUGUGGUCAAUGCUGUACAAUGGUUUUUUAACUCUGGUCACAUGCUUGGGAGCUUUAAUGAAACAGUCAUUGUCCUAGUUCCAAAACAGAAAAAACCUAGUGAGUUGCACCACUUUAGGCCUAUUAGUUUGUGCAGAGUCAUUUACAAAAUUAUUGCAAAAUGUCUUGUAAAUCGGCUCAAACCUUUUUUGCAUUCUCUAGUUCAUCCAUUUCAGAGUGCUUUUAUCC